RNAcentral lists this microRNA precursor (87 nucleotides) under Dipodomys ordii (Ord's kangaroo rat). Its description in RNAcentral is "mir-146 microRNA precursor family". It matches the Rfam family "mir-146 microRNA precursor family". Lineage: Eukaryota; Metazoa; Chordata; Mammalia; Rodentia; Heteromyidae. The record is from Rfam by way of RNAcentral.
UUGUAUCCCCAGCUUUGAGAACUGAAUUCCAUGGGUCGUGUCAACGUCAGACGCGUGCAGUUCAGUUCUUCAGCUGGGAUAUCUCAG